GACGAACGCUGGCGGCGUGCUUAACACAUGCAAGUCGAACGGAAAGGCCCUGCUUUUGUGGGGUGCUCGAGUGGCGAACGGGUGAGUAACACGUGAGUAACCUGCCCUUGACUUUGGGAUAACUUCAGGAAACUGGGGCUAAUACCGGAUAGGAGCUCCUGCUGCAUGGUGGGGGUUGGAAAGUUUCGGCGGUUGGGGAUGGACUCGCGGCUUAUCAGCUUGUUGGUGGGGUAGUGGCUUACCAAGGCUUUGACGGGUAGCCGGCCUGAGAGGGUGACCGGCCACAUUGGGACUGAGAUACGGCCCAGACUCCUACGGGAGGCAGCAGUGGGGAAUAUUGCACAAUGGGCGGAAGCCUGAUACAGCAACGCCGCGUGCGGGAUGACGGCCUUCGGGUUGUAAACCGCUUUCGCCUGUGACGACGCGUGAGUGACGGUAAUGGGUAAAGAAGCACCGGCUAACUACGUG
This 468-nucleotide ribosomal RNA is filed under the name uncultured bacterium. Its description in RNAcentral is "partial 16S ribosomal RNA". It matches the Rfam family "Bacterial small subunit ribosomal RNA", at positions 28 to 507 of the family's 1533-position model. The record is from RNAcentral.